RNAcentral lists this ribosomal RNA (741 nucleotides) under Triticum aestivum (bread wheat). Its description in RNAcentral is "partial small subunit ribosomal RNA". Lineage: Eukaryota; Viridiplantae; Streptophyta; Magnoliopsida; Poales; Poaceae. The record is from RNAcentral.
UGUUGUUCUAUAUUAUAUUGAUCUGACCCAAGUGUGGGGUAUAUAUAGAGUACAAUAUGAGGGAGAGAGACUUGGAGUAGAGGGCAAGUCGUACACGAUUUAAUCCUAUUCUAUCUCUAACUCCUAAUCUCUAACUUAAACAUAAUUAUACUUCUAACAUUCCCCCUCAGUCGUAGCGGGAGUGAAGCGGACGAUUACGACUGAAUUUGAAGUCUUGCUCUUUUGUCGUCUUCUCCGCUACGCCAUCAUCAACUGCGUCUCUGAUGCGUCGGCAGUUAAGGCGGUGACUGCGUCCCCUUCUGGUGCCUUCCUGCCUUCCCCUCUAUUCCCUCCCGCAGUCACAGCGGGAGCGUCGUGGACGCAAAUGACGAGGCGGACGCUGUUGACUGGAGUUGUUGCCGAUGAGUUGCUGUAGACGCAGCCCCGUAUGUCGAUGUCGAGGUAGCCGAUCAUGAUGAUGUAGCCAUGGUCGAGGUAGUCAUGGUCGAUGGUGUGGUCGUCGUGGAUGAUGAAGCCGCACAAAGCCGGAGGCGCAAAAAAAAUGCGCUCUGACGGAGCUGCAGACAUGGACGAUGCACCUUGCGGAUGUCAGAGGGUGCCGUCGGCGAUGAGUCCACCGAUUUUGCCAAGAUCGGAGGAAGCCCAUCGAGCACACAUCGGUUUUGCCAGAACCGUGUGGCCGUGUAGGGUCGUCACUGUAGUGACGCCGUGUUGAUGCAGUCGUGCCGUCGUGGAUGACGC